This 1430-nucleotide ribosomal RNA is filed under the name Lacticaseibacillus casei. RNAcentral's name for it is "Lactobacillus casei 16S ribosomal RNA". It matches the Rfam family "Bacterial small subunit ribosomal RNA". The record is from RNAcentral. Lineage: Bacteria; Bacillati; Bacillota; Bacilli; Lactobacillales; Lactobacillaceae.
ACGAGUGGCGGACGGGUGAGUAACACGUGGGUAACCUGCCCUUAAGUGGGGGAUAACAUUUGGAAACAGAUGCUAAUACCGCAUAGAUCCAAGAACCGCAUGGUUCUUGGCUGAAAGAUGGCGUAAGCUAUCGCUUUUGGAUGGACCCGCGGCGUAUUAGCUAGUUGGUGAGGUAAUGGCUCACCAAGGCGAUGAUACGUAGCCGAACUGAGAGGUUGAUCGGCCACAUUGGGACUGAGACACGGCCCAAACUCCUACGGGAGGCAGCAGUAGGGAAUCUUCCACAAUGGACGCAAGUCUGAUGGAGCAACGCCGCGUGAGUGAAGAAGGCUUUCGGGUCGUAAAACUCUGUUGUUGGAGAAGAAUGGUCGGCAGAGUAACUGUUGUCGUCGUGACGGUAUCUAUCCAGAAAGACCACGGCUAACUACGUGCCAGCAGCCGCGGUAAUACGUAGGUGGCAAGCGUUUUCUGGAUUUAUUGGGCGUAAAGCGAGCGCAGGCGGUUUUUUAAGUCUGAUGUGAAAGCCCUCGGCUUAACCGAGGAAGCGCAUCGGAAACUGGGAAACUUGAGUGCAGAAGAGGACAGUGGAACUCCAUGUGUAGCGGUGAAAUGCGUAGAUAUAUGGAAGAACACCAGUGGCGAAGGCGGCUGUCUGGUCUGUAACUGACGCUGAGGCUCGAAAGCAUGGGUAGCGAACAGGAUUAGAUACCCUGGUAGUCCAUGCCGUAAACGAUGAAUGCUAGGUGUUGGAGGGUUUCCGCCCUUCAGUGCCGCAGCUAACGCAUUAAGCAUUCCGCCUGGGGAGUACGACCGCAAGGUUGAAACUCAAAGGAAUUGACGGGGGCCCGCACAAGCGGUGGAGCAUGUGGUUUAAUUCGAAGCAACGCGAAGAACCUUACCAGGUCUUGACAUCUUUUGAUCACCUGAGAGAUCAGGUUUCCCCUUCGGGGGCAAAAAUGACAGGUGGUGCAUGGUUGUCGUCAGCUCGUGUCGUGAGAUGUUGGUUUAGUUCCCGCAACGAGCGCAACCCUUAUGACUAGUUGCCAGCAUUUAGUUGGGCACUCUAGUAAGACUGCCGGUGACAAACCGGAGGAAGGUGGGGAUGACGUCAAAUCAUCAUGCCCCUUAUGACCUGGGCUACACACGUGCUACAAUGGAUGGUACAACGAGUUGCGAGACCGCGAGGUCAAGCUAAUCUCUUAAAGCCAUUCUCAGUUCGGACUGUAGGCUGCAACUCGCCUACACGAAGUCGGAAUCGCUAGUAAUCGCGGAUCAGCACGCCGCGGUGAAUACGUUCCCGGGCCUUGUACACACCGCCCGUCACACCAUGAGAGUUUGUAACACCCGAAGCCGGUGGCGUAACCCUUUUAGGGAGCGAGCCGUCUAAGGUGGGACAAAUGAUUAGGGUGAAGUCGUAACAAGGUUGCCGU